GGACAUGUGGCUCAAAUGGUAGAGUACCAGUUUAGCAAUCUUGAAGCCCUGAGUUCAAAUCAUAGCACUUUCU
This 73-nucleotide transfer RNA is filed under the name Dipodomys ordii (Ord's kangaroo rat). It matches the Rfam family "tRNA". Rfam says of the family: Transfer RNA (tRNA) molecules are approximately 80 nucleotides in length. Their secondary structure includes four short double-helical elements and three loops (D, anti-codon, and T loops). Lineage: Eukaryota; Metazoa; Chordata; Mammalia; Rodentia; Heteromyidae. The record is from Rfam by way of RNAcentral.